Molecule: long non-coding RNA, 2283 nt
Filed under: Homo sapiens (human)
Lineage: Eukaryota; Metazoa; Chordata; Mammalia; Primates; Hominidae
Description: HSALNT0009856
Source: RNAcentral
CGCGGGCCUCCUGCAAGACAAUGGCCACGACCUGACGCGCGAGCGCCAGCCCCAGCCCGGGAGUCACGCCGCUGGCGCUUGACGCACGCGGAGACCCGGGGGCCGUGCCCCAGCUUUGUGGAACCUGAGGGCGGCUCGGGUCAGGUCGGUCCCCGCGGGAGGACAGGCGCGACCCGUCCCUCAGGACCGACGGCGUGUGGCUGCGGGGGCAUGGGGUGCCCCUCUCGGCCCGGUCGCUCCAGCGAGGGGACGCUGAGCCCCAGCUUUUAAAGGCUUCAUAUUCCUGACAAAUGGAGAUCCACUGACAUGAAGAAAUUCUCAAGCAACUAGGCAACUGGGAUUGUGCAGGGGCUUGCCCCUGAUCCUAUAGUAAAAGGUCCAGCCCUCACUAGCUGAAGCUUUUUAUAGUCUUCAACAACAACCAGUCCCUACAUUUAAGAAGGUUAAUAACUGAGACAGCCUUCCUGGUGGAUCCAUCAUUUGGCCCAGCUUGUAGAAAGAUUCCCAACUAGCUCUAAUUAGUUCCAUCUUAUUUGGAGGCAGAGGUAUUCCUCAUCAUACCCAUAUCCUCAUAUAAAUUGUCCAGUGCCCUAGGUACCAGGGAGAAAGAAGACGAAGAAGGACAUAUACCAGAAGCACAUUAAUAGGCUGCUGAAAAACUCUGCCACACUUUCAGAUGACAGGUCACCUACAGAUAAAUGAUUCAAGGAUCAACCAAGUUCUGAAGUUUUUUUUUGUUUUUUUUUUUUGGGAUAGAGUCUCACUGUGUCACCCAGGCUGGAGUGCAGUGGCGUGAUCUCAGCUCACUGCAACCUCUGCCUCCCGAGUUCAAGUGAUUCUCCUGCCUCAGCCUCCCAAGUAGCUGGGAUUAUAGGUGCCUGCCACCAGGCCUGGCUAAUUAUUUUUUGUAUUUUUAGUAGAAACAUAGUUUCACUAUGUUGGCCAGGCUGGUCUUGAACUCCUGACCUUGUGAUCCACCCGCCUCAGCCUCCCAAAGUGCUGGGAUACAGGUGUGAGCCACCAUGCCCGGCCAGUUCUUAAUACUGCCAGGAGUGCUUUAGAAGGCUGGGAAUAUGGGGCGAAAGAUUAGACACCCAAGCUGUUGAAAACCACACAGAGUUUCAGUAAAUAUAUGCACAAUUUGAAAAAUAUAUUUGCAAAAAUCUAGGUGUCUCCGGUCUAGUCCUUCCUAUUAAUCAAAUAAAUUACCGAGCUUCAUGGCCCAGUCUAUGAUCCUAGUUCUGACCGCUGCUGCCCGUAAAGGCCUCAAUGAAUUCCUCUCUGAGCUUCCAGACUUCCUUGGCUGGUGACUUGUUCCUCUUGGGACAGCUUUUGCUUGAGCUGAGCAGCCUGGCCCCCAGCUGUGCAGGGCCCUCUCUCCGGUGAGAGGAAACGCUUUCAGCUUAGUCUGUUAACACAAACAUUCAAAAGCAAACAUUCAAAAGCCACAGAUCAUGUUCGCAUAAAUAAAAUAGGAUUGAGAAAAGCUUUGCCCCAAGAAACCAAAGGGGUGUUUAAAAAACAGCUCUUGCUUUCCAAGUAGGCAGGCAGCAAAGCCACAGCAAUUCCAAAGGUUUGUGUGCUUGGUAGAGCUGGGUGGCUGCAGCCGCAGGCCUUUGAAGAGGAAAUGCCAUCCCUGGUACAGGCAGGCGGCCAACCCAUGAGUCCUGAAAGUACCAGAGAGAAGCAGAAAGCAGGGGAGCACAGUUAGGAAGUGAAAAGGGAGAGGAAGGCACCAAGGAGAUAAAUGAGGAGACUCUUCUUAUCUAGAGUUCCCACCCCAGACCUAAGAGCUACAGGACAGAGGAACUCACUGUGCCUGACAGAGCUGGGGCCUGAAAUAGAAAAAGAUGAUUCUAAAAUCUGAUGGAACCACCAAGGAGCUUGAGUGGCCAAAGCAAAAAGAACAAGCUGAAGGCAUCACACCACCCAACUUCAAAAUAUAUUACAAAGCUAUAGUAAUCAAAACAGCAUUGUUCUCCAUAAAAAGACACAUAGACCAAAGGAACAGAUUAGAUCCCAGAAAUAAACCCAUGCAACUAUCUUUGACAAGGCUACCAAGACAUAAUGAGGAAAAAAUAAUCUCUUCAAUAAAUGAUGCUGGGAAAACUGUAUACCCACAUGCAGAAUGAAAUUGGUCCUUGAUGUUUUAUGUGACUGAAGCAGUUUGAAAAGGAGAGUGAAUGAGAGAGUAAGCAAGCUGUAAAAUUAGGUUGGGACCAAGUCAGGGGUUACCAAAUAUCAGGCUGAGCUUUGGUACUUUAUUUGGCAAGAAAAUAAAAC